This 250-nucleotide ribosomal RNA is filed under the name uncultured cyanobacterium. Its description in RNAcentral is "partial 16S ribosomal RNA". It matches the Rfam family "Bacterial small subunit ribosomal RNA", at positions 509 to 758 of the family's 1533-position model. Lineage: Bacteria; Bacillati; Cyanobacteriota. The record is from RNAcentral.
CAGCAGCCGCGGUAAUACGGAGGAUGCAAGCGUUAUCCGGAAUCAUUGGGCGUAAAGAGUCCGUAGGUGGCACUUCAAGUCUGCUUUCAAAGACCGAAGCUCAACUUCGGAAAGGGAGUGGAAACUGAAGAGCUAGAGUAUAGUAGGGGUAGAGGGAAUUCCUAGUGUAGCGGUGAAAUGCGUAGAGAUUAGGAAGAACACCAGUGGCGAAGGCGCUCUACUGGGCAUAUACUGACACUGAGGGACGAAA